CCGCACAAGCGGUGGAGCAUGUGGUUUAAUUCGAUGCAACGCGAAGAACCUUACCUACUCUUGACAUCCACGGAAUUCGCCAGAGAUGGCUUAGUGCCUUCGGGAACCGUGAGACAGGUGCUGCAUGGCUGUCGUCAGCUCGUGUUGUGAAAUGUUGGGUUAAGUCCCGCAACGAGCGCAACCCUUAUCCUUUGUUGCCAGCACGUAAUGGUGGGAACUCAAAGGAGACUGCCGGUGAUAAACCGGAGGAAGGUGGGGAUGACGUCAAGUCAUCAUGGCCCUUACGAGUAGGGCUACACACGUGCUACAAUGGCAUAUACAAAGAGAAGCGAACUCGCGAGAGCAAGCGGACCUCAUAAAGUAUGUCGUAGUCCGGAUUGGAGUCUGCAACUCGACUCCAUGAAGUCGGAAUCGCUAGUAAUCGUAGAUCAGAAUGCUACG
Molecule: ribosomal RNA, 441 nt
Filed under: Rahnella sp. BE19
Lineage: Bacteria; Pseudomonadati; Pseudomonadota; Gammaproteobacteria; Enterobacterales; Yersiniaceae
Also listed under: 1 other name
Description: bacterial SSU rRNA
Rfam family: Bacterial small subunit ribosomal RNA
Source: RNAcentral